GAGUUUGAUCCUGGCUCAGCGCGAACGCUGGCGGCGCGCCUAACACAUGCAAGUCGCGGGGCAGCAGGCCCUCCUUCGGGAGGGUGCUGGCGACCGGCAAACGGGUGAGUAACGCGUGGGUAACCUACCCUCAGGGGAGGGAUAACCCCGGGAAACCGGGGCUAAUACCCCAUAAUGCCAUGCAUCACUGAGGCGCAGGGUGAAAGGGGGCCUCUGCUUGCAAGCUCCCGCCUGAGGAUGGGCCCGCGUCCCAUCAGGUAGUUGGUGGGGUAACGGCCUACCAAGCCUGUGACGGGUAGCCGGCCUGAGAGGGUAGCCGGCCACAGCGGGACUGAGACACGGCCCGCACCCCUACGGGGGGCAGCAGUGGGGAAUCGUGGGCAAUGGGCGAAAGCCUGACCCCGCGACGCCGCGUGCGGGAUGAAGCCCUUCGGGGUGUAAACCGCUGUCAGGAGGGACGAAGGGACCGUGGGCUAAUACCUCACGGUCUUGACGGUACCUCCAGAGGAAGGGACGGCUAACUACGUGCCAGCAGCCGCGGUAAUACGUAGGUCCCGAGCGUUGCGCGGAGUCACUGGGCGUAAAGCGUCCGCAGCCGGCUCCGUAAGCGGGAUGUCAAAGCCCACGGCUCAACCGUGGAACGGCAUCCUGAACUGCGGAGCUUGAGGCACGCUCAGGCAGGCGGAAUUCCCGGGGUAGCGGUGAAAUGCGUAGAUCUCGGGAGGAACACCGAAGGGGAAGCCAGCCUGCUGGAGCUGUCCUGACGGUCAGGGACGAAAGCCAGGGGAGCGAACCGGAUUAGAUACCCGGGUAGUCCUGGCCGUAAACCAUGGGCGCUAGGGGUUGUCCCUUCGGGGGCAGCCUCGCAGCUAACGCGAUAAGCGCCCCGCCUGGGGAGUACGGGCGCAAGCCUGAAACUCAAAGGAAUUGGCGGGGGCCCGCACAACCGGUGGAGCGUCUGGUUCAAUUCGAUGCUAACCGAAGAACCUUACCCGGGCUUGACAUGUCAUGGUCACCUCUGCGAAAGCGGAGGGUUCUCGUUCCUCUGGAACGAGCCCUGACACAGGUGGUGCAUGGCCGUCGCCAGCUCGUGUCGUGAG
This 1100-nucleotide ribosomal RNA is filed under the name uncultured Aquificales bacterium. RNAcentral describes it as "bacterial SSU rRNA". It matches the Rfam family "Bacterial small subunit ribosomal RNA", at positions 9 to 1071 of the family's 1533-position model. Lineage: Bacteria; Pseudomonadati; Aquificota; Aquificia; Aquificales. The record is from RNAcentral.